Molecule: ribosomal RNA, 543 nt
Filed under: Sphingomonas sp.
Lineage: Bacteria; Pseudomonadati; Pseudomonadota; Alphaproteobacteria; Sphingomonadales; Sphingomonadaceae
Description: bacterial SSU rRNA
Rfam family: Bacterial small subunit ribosomal RNA
Source: RNAcentral
GGAAACGACUGCUAAUACCGGAUGACGACGUAAGUCCAAAGAUUUAUCGCCGAGGGAUGAGCCCGCGUAGGAUUAGGUAGUUGGUGUGGUAAAGGCGCACCAAGCCGACGAUCCUUAGCUGGUCUGAGAGGAUGAUCAGCCACACUGGGACUGAGACACGGCCCAGACUCCUACGGGAGGCAGCAGUGGGGAAUAUUGGACAAUGGGCGAAAGCCUGAUCCAGCAAUGCCGCGUGAGUGAUGAAGGCCUUAGGGUUGUAAAGCUCUUUUACCCGGGAUGAUAAUGACAGUACCGGGAGAAUAAGCUCCGGCUAACUCCGUGCCAGCAGCCGCGGUAAUACGGAGGGAGCUAGCGUUAUUCGGAAUUACUGGGCGUAAAGCGCACGUAGGCGGCUUUGUAAGUAAGAGGUGAAAGCCCAGAGCUCAACUCUGGAAUUGCCUUUUAGACUGCAUCGCUUGAAUCAUGGAGAGGUCAGUGGAAUUCCGAGUGUAGAGGUGAAAUUCGUAGAUAUUCGGAAGAACACCAGUGGCGAAGGCGGCUGAC